Molecule: long non-coding RNA, 708 nt
Organism: Rosa chinensis
Lineage: Eukaryota; Viridiplantae; Streptophyta; Magnoliopsida; Rosales; Rosaceae
Exons: 3
Source: RefSeq, a predicted model, not a curated record
GUUCAUUAUUUGGUCAAAUUUUUGAACAUCCGAUAUUGCCCUUGAUAUUUCCCACGAUUUACAGAGUAACCGAAAGGGGACUGACGGUUCUGGCUUUUGCCGCACAGAGAAAACUACUUCUGUCUUUUAAUUCGAGGCAGAGGAAAGGGUUUAGAGCGGUAGGGUUGAAUAAUUCUGGGUCUUCGGUAUUGGAGAUUGAUGAUUAGGGUUCUUGAUGGGAGAGAUUAUUAGGUACCAGCUCUGGAGCACAAUGUAAAGAGACAAAAAUGUACUAGCAGUGGCUUUUUAUGUGCGAAACUGGAAUGUGCUAACAGCAGCCAUUCAAUUGCUGAUGAAGGCUGAUUUAUGCUGGCAAGCAGCUUGGAGAUGACAAAACUGCUAGACUACAACAUUGAGGGUGGCUCUGUCCUUCCUUUAGUGCUUGCACUACGUGGUGGUAGCCUAUAGAUUGUAUCAUAAUAUUGUAUCUAUUAAUGUUCAGGCAAACUCUUUUGUGAAGGCUUUAUCGAGUCUUGAUACUCCAAAACAUCUGAGUUGCAUGACAAGUGGAUUACUUUAGACAUAAGUAUCAGCGUUACAUAUUGCACUCUACCUUUCUGCUCUGUUAUGUUCACUGUAAUGCUCUGGUGCUUUUACUUUAUACAAGCUUAGCUUCACUUGGGCAACAAAUUUUAUCAAUCUUGAUUACAAUUGUUUUCUGCUUGUGGA